Molecule: long non-coding RNA, 238 nt
Organism: Leguminivora glycinivorella
Lineage: Eukaryota; Metazoa; Arthropoda; Insecta; Lepidoptera; Tortricidae
Exons: 3
Source: RefSeq, a predicted model, not a curated record
GAGUAAACGUGGCGUCGAAGUCGAACGAAACAAAUACGUCGAAAACAUUCUGCACCACAACCACAAUGAAUAUUCAAGACUCCCAUGUCCCAGAACUCGAAGAAUCACAAUUCAUCCAAUGUUCUUAUACUGCUGCGAGUGAAAGGGGCACUAAUGAUGAUAUUUAUGACUUGAUCGAUGCACAGAAUGAGCCACUGAGACCAAGAUGCAGUCCUUGAGAGAGCACAACCCAUGCGAU